Molecule: long non-coding RNA, 2699 nt
Organism: Passer domesticus (house sparrow)
Lineage: Eukaryota; Metazoa; Chordata; Aves; Passeriformes; Passeridae
Exons: 2
Source: RefSeq, a predicted model, not a curated record
GAACUUACCUGUCCUUGAUCAUGUUGAAAUAGAAGUUAGACAAGCUUCUGGAACAGAAUGCUUGCAGCAAUCGAACAACUUUGCUAUAAUCAUAUUGUUUGUAAGCUUCUGUAACCUGGGAGAGGGAGGUGUAAAAAGCAGUAGUACCUCCCUAAAGAAGCUUGGAAAAGCUUUCUUUAGGCUAAAGACUGGAAAGCUUUGCAGGAAAGACACAGAGGACCUGUUGUUGGGAUGAAUAGUGUUGGCAGUGGUGGCUCUACCUUGUUGAUGUCGUCUCUGGCAGCAUUGAGCACCACAGGCCCAAUCAUCACCUCUGUGAAGACAUUGGAUUCUGCCACCCACCAGCGGAGAACAUCGGCACCGUAUGGAGGAUCCUUGGUGUGAUCCUGAGGACAGACAGGAAAGCAGAGAGCCAUAGAGUAUCUCCAGCUGGAAGGAAUCCAUGGGGAUCAUGCAGUCCAACUCCCUGUUCCUUGCAGGACUACCUACAACUCUAUGUGCCGAGAAGCUGCUGUGCUUAGAGGCUUCCCCUUCUUUUAGCAACCCACACCUGCAGGACUCUGUGUACAGGCAGUGCUAGAGCCUAGGUAAGCUGAGAGAAACUCAUCUGCAGCCUUAAAUCCUUUGACUGCUUAUCAUUAAAAUAGCAAUGUUAAUAUCUAAAAUUACAUAGGUUUUUCUUCCCCUUCCGACUGUUUUCAACUCUGAAAACUGCUUUUCUCCUUUGCGAAAGAAACAAUUGUGUGUUUUAAUUAACCAGGUAAGCAAGUCAUGCAAGGAUUGUUUCUUUUGUCCAGUGAGUUGCAAAAUCUGUUCAGCAGCAUCAGAAAGAGCAACAGUGGGACUGGGGAGGGAAGGAAAUUCAGAGCAUCUGAAUGCACCGGCAGUGCAACCUCCCUGACCAGGGAAUGAAGCUUCCAGAGUCACUAAUAGCCUGAGAGCAGAGAGAUUGCUGGAGUGCAGCUGCUACAUCUGACUGCUCCACUGCCAGCCACACAUGGUAGGCUUCAGUCAGUUUGACAGCAGAGGUUCAUUAUUUUAAUUUUUUUUUGUUUGUUUUUAUUAUUCCUUUUCUCCAUUACUCCAUUAACACUGGUUAAAAGGAACCAUUCUACACCCUCUGCAUAAUUUUAUUUUCUCUUAGUAGAGAAUGAAGGUGAGGGGUUUUCUUGCACUACAGUAGAAGCAGCACAACUCAAGGUUUUCAGUCUAGCCAAAUGGAACUGCAGUAUAGCCAAAGAAGAGCCUGACACAGUUCUGCCACAAGAUAGCUGCAGAAUCUGGCAGUGAAAGGUUGUAAGUGGCAGUUCUGAGAAACUCAGGAGCUUGACCUACUUCGCCUCCAUUGAUGACGACAUCAGGGUCAACCACAUUGCCAACAGAUUUGGACAUCUUCUCCCCUUUCUCGCCAAGAGUAAAGCCAUGAACCACCAGAGUCCUGCAGGAAAGAUUUUAGUGAAAACAAAAUCCAAGAGAAAAACCUAUGCUAAGAACUGAUUUUUAAUGAGGAUAUUCUUAAGUCAAAGCACACAAGAAACCCCGUUUUGGAGAGCCUGAGGCUUCAUCCCCUGAGUUCAACGAGCCAUGAAUAUACCCUGCACUACUAUUCAAGGCAAGCAAACAACUUUAUUUUCCUCAUUUAAUUUUGUUGUGCAAGCAACAGAUUGUUUAGAUAUCCAAGGCAUGAAUAUUUCAGAUUAAUUAAAGACUAAAGUGUUAUUUACUUUUUAAGCCAAUACCUUUCCCAAAACUGCACAGCAUCCUUGCAGCUGAGCCACAUUCCCCUUCCCUAUGCUUUCCAUCUUCCAGGAGAUAAAUGGUGUGCCACAGCUCCAGCAGAACACAAGCACACAGCUAUUCCCAAUUCCCUACAGCCUAAUAUUGAAUUCACAAGUCAAUGAUCUUGGGAGAUUUGCACUUCCCAAAGAAUUUCUUUAAUUGUGGGAGUGGGAGAGAUAGCAAAAAGUCUGACAUGUAUCUGAUAAUUCCUAAAUGACUAAGAAUGAAAACAGAAUUAUGAUAGGAAAAAGUUAAACAGUAAAUGAAUUACAAUCUGAGAAAAACUUUAUACUGAAAAUGUAAGAAUACGAAUCAGAUACUUGGUAGUGGCUUGAUUUCUCGUGUUUAUACACUAUUGCGCACACUUCCAAAAGCUCAAUAUUCAAUAAAUGGACUAGAAAUGUAUUUGCAAUGCACACACUUACUUGUAUGGUGCCUUUUUCCUUGCUGCCACACUGGUUAAGAGAGAGGACUGAAACCAACCUCCCAGCUGGUCUUUUCCUUCAAGGUAUGUAUCUGCUCUCUGAUCCGCACCUUUAAAAAUCAGAACAUUUUAUUUGAAAUAUCAGACCUCGAAUCUUAAAACAAUUAACACAUAAAAUCUCUGAAAGUGAUUAGUAACAUUUAUCCUGCUUUUUAAACACAGUAAGUUACUUUUCUAAUGGUGUGUGGUUACUUAACCAUGAUACAAAGGAUUCAUUAGUACCACAAUUUUUAAAAGAAUCCAAAACUUGCCACACUCCAGAAUUUAACAAAUAAGCUUGCUCUCUCCUAAUCUAAAUAAUAAAUUAUGAAAAAAACCUAUCAUGCUCAGAUUGCUUUGCAGAAGUUCUCAGAAUACUUUCCAAAUGCUCCUAAACAAACUGGAAUACCUAAGAAAAGUUCACAUACUUUGAAAUUAAUAAAAAUCUAUGCCACCA